Long non-coding RNA from Hyla sarda, 2939 nucleotides. RefSeq lists it as uncharacterized. The record is from RefSeq and is a predicted model, not a curated record. Lineage: Eukaryota; Metazoa; Chordata; Amphibia; Anura; Hylidae. The transcript has 6 exons.
AUAUGCAAUCAGAAGAUUGAAUGUUGUAGCCUCCUGUGGAGGGCUAAAAAAAAAAAAAAAAGGGAAAAAAAAAAGUUCAGAAAAGUGAAUUAACCCCUUCCCUAUUAAAAGUUUAAAUCAUCCCCCUUUUUCCAUUUUUUAAACAAAAUAAUGUAAUAAAAAAAAAAAAUGUGGUACCGACUCGUGCGUAAAUGUCCGAACUUUUAAAAUAUAAGGUUAUCUAAACCGCACGGUCAGUGGCGUACACCAGUAUUAAUCCCUCCAGUACUAUCAGCAACCGGUACCCGCGGCUAAUACCGGACAUCGCCAGUAGGGCUAAUGUCCGGUAUUAACCCUUUAGAUGCCGCGAUCAAAGUUGAUCGCGGUGUCUAAAAUGGGAGAAUAUGCUGCCGGUUAGCUCAGCUGAGCUGUUCGGGACCGCCGCAGUGAAAUUGCAGCAUCCCGAACAGCUAAGAGGACAGCGGGAGGUGUCUUACCUUGUUCCCGGUUCUCCAUUCGGCGUUUGAUUGCUCCUAUUGAGCAAUCAAGCGCAGAAAACACUUAUCAAUGCAAUCCUAUGGCAAUGCAUUGAACAGUGCCUGCAAUCAGUGUAUGCAAUAUUAUAGCCCCUAGAAGGGGCUAUAACACUGCAUACAAAAAGUAAAAAAUAAAAAUAAAAGUAAAUAAAUGUGAUUGAACCCCUUCCCUAAUAAAAAUCAGAAUCACCCCCCUUUCCCAUUUAAAAAAAAGUGUGUAAAUAUAAAUAAAUAAAAACAAACAUGUGGUAUCACCGCGUGUGUAAAUGUCCAAACUAUAAAAUUAUAUCGUUAAUUAAACCGUACGGUCAAUGGCAUACGCGCAAAAAAUUCCAAAGUCCAGAAUAGCGUAUUUUUGGUCACUUUUUAUACCAUAAAAAAUUAAUAAAAAGCGAUCAAAAAGUCCGAUCAAAAAUGGUACAGAUAAAAACUUCAGAUAACGGCGCAAAAAAUGAGCCCUCAUACUGCCCCAUUCGUGGAACAAUAAAAAAGUUAUAGGGGUCAGAAAAUGACAAUUUUUUUAAUGUAUUAAUUUUCAUGCAUUAAUUUUUUCCAGAAGUACGACAAAAUCAAACCUUUAUAGGUAGGAUAUUAUUUUAAUUGUAUGGAUCUACAGAAUAAAUAUAAGGUGUCAUUUUUACCAAAAAUGUACUGCAUAGAAACAGAAGCCCCCAAAAGAGACAAAAUUUUGUCUCACAAUGAUUUUUUUUUCUGUUUCACUGUAGAUUUUUGGGUAAAAUGAGAGAUUUCAUUACAAAGUAGAAUUGGUGGCACAAAAAAAAGCCUUCAUAUGGAUUUUUAGGUGCGAAAUUGAAAGGGUUAUUAUUUUUCAAAUGUAAGGAGGAAAAAACGAAAGUGCAAAAACUGAAAAACGCUUGGUCCUUAAGGGGUUAAAUUAGAGGGGCAAAGGUUUAAAAGUAAUAUCAGGAAGUAUUACAUUACUGAGAGAGUAGUGGAUGCAUGGAAUAGCCUUCCUGCAGAAGUGGUUGCUGCAAAUACAGUGAAGGAGUUUAAACAUGCGUGGGAUAAGCAUAAGGCUAUCCUUCAUAUAAAAUAGGGCCAGUGAUUAUUGAUAGGAUUCAGAUUAUUGGGCAGACUAGAUGGGCCAAAUGGUUCUUAUCUGCCGACACAUUCUAUGUUUCUAUGUUAGGGUGAGGACCAAGAAUUUUUCACCAGACAGUCUCCAAGCCACAGUAAACAAGGUUUGCCACAGAAAAAAAGGAAAACCAACCCAAGAAGAAAAGAAGUCAAAAUCUAAAAAGGUGAGUUUUCACUCACAAUUUUGACUGGCAAUGAUUUCUGAAUUAUUAAUUUUUUUUUCUUUCAGAAGCAUGUAGUUGUGGAAUCCUCCUCAGAGGAGGGUUCAAGUUCCGAAACAAAGAAAGUUGAAUCAACACGUUCCAGAAGCCCAAGUAUGUUAGAAGUUUACGUGAGGAAGCCGAGGAGGAGAGUGUCCCGCAUGUGUCGCCCCCCCCCCAGGACUCCCAGGAUGGGCCUUCCAAAGAUCCUGAACCACGUCCUGCGCCUCAGCCAACCAGAGGAAGAGGUGGCAGCAUUUGCGACUGAGGACGUGGUCGUGCGAGCAGAUUAAAAAUCAUUGUACAUCCAUCAGGGACAGGCAAAUGCGGGACCUUAGGGAGGAGGAAGAGAGGCCCAGUGGAUUUGGGGCCUCUAGUAAAACGCCAUACGUCCACCGGUCACUCCUUGGAUUCCUACAACAUUGCCACGAGAUGCGGAAGACACAUUCCAGUGUUAAAAGAGAGAGUGCUCAGGCCCUACAAGAAAGAUCCCCCUCCAGCCCCCGACACUGCUGAUUAAGGGCAAGAACCUUCUACCUUACCAGCUUCCUCAUGGUCCCGACUAAGUUGCCAGAGGAUCGAAGCAUCCUUUGGAGAUUUGGUCCGGCCGGUGAGGACUGGCAGGAGACAGCAUGGGAUCCUUGAAGACCUCAUAAUGCUCACAAAGGAGAGCUAUAUGAGAUUGGAUGAUAAAGUGGAAGUCUUGAGGGAAGAGCUUUGCCAGUUACUGCAGGCGGGGGCAGGGCCGUCUACUGGUCCCCCUUCAGACUCUCUACUUUAUCUCCAGAGCCUGGCUCCCAUGUUGGAGAAUCUGUCCCUUGAAAAGCAGUGUCAGUUCCCCAAGGAGUAGUUCAAACUUCUGAGUAGACUCUGCCCCCUAAUAUUCCCACCCCUUCAACACCAUUUCAACAAUUUUCAUUUUUCCAGUCCCAUUCCUAUUCCAUGGAAACCCCUAAUCCCAGAUUCUACUCAGAAAGAAGAAUCGACUCCUUGCGGCCCCUGGAGGACCCCAGCUCCAAAGGCCCUUCCGAAGACCCCCCUUAACCAGCCCACUUUUACUGAGUUAUAGGGCACAAGCCCUUUAAAAAACAUUUUAAAUAGUUAAAUUAUUUUUAUUUAAAAAACA